Molecule: unclassified non-coding RNA, 454 nt
Filed under: Hevea brasiliensis (rubber tree)
Lineage: Eukaryota; Viridiplantae; Streptophyta; Magnoliopsida; Malpighiales; Euphorbiaceae
Source: RNAcentral
CAUUCUCUCUCUCCCGCGAUUACAUUACAGGGUUUGUGGGCGCUUGCAGAUCUGAGUAAGGUUUCGUGUUAAGUGGGCGUUUUCUUCGGUAAAUUUUAACGAUGUUUUGGCGUAUGGCAGGGCUCUCCACGGCGUCGCCGGUGGAGGCAAUUUUGGAUAAGGACAACUUUACGCUGGAGGAGCUUCUUGAUGAGGACGAAAUUAUUCAAGAAUGCAAAGCUCUGAAUGGGCGUCUUAUCAAUUUCUUGCGAGAAAGGACUCAGGUUGAGCAAUUGAUUCGCUUUAUUGUGGAAGAAGCUUCUGAGGAUGCUGAAAAGAGGCGAUCGUUCAAGUUUCCUUUCAUUGCAUGUGAGAUUUUUACUUGUGAGGUUGAUAUUAUACUCAAAACGCUUGUGGAGGAUGAGGAGUUAAUGAAUUUGUUGUUUUCCUUUCUGGAACCAAAACACUCCCAUAG